CUUCUCAUCACCCAAGCUUAAAAUUAGACUUAUGUUUCCAUUUUAGGUCCUCCAUUGUGCAUUACACCUAGGACUAUCAUCCUUCAGUAUUGCUACUUGGCCUCUUCCCACCUUUUCGUCAUAAUUCCUAUCAAAGGGUCCUGCCAUAAUCCCUCUAGGAUUUUUCAGACCCUGCUAUAUUUAUCCACCAGGGAAAUCUGCACUUGAAAUGGUGAU
Molecule: long non-coding RNA, 216 nt
Filed under: Chinchilla lanigera (long-tailed chinchilla)
Lineage: Eukaryota; Metazoa; Chordata; Mammalia; Rodentia; Chinchillidae
Description: lncRNA (ENSCLAG00000028013.1)
Source: RNAcentral